UCCCGAGCGUUNUCCGGAUUUAUUGGGCGUAAAGCGAGCGCAGGCGGUUUGAUAAGUNUGAAGUUAAAGGCUGUGGCUCAACCAUAGUUCGCUUUGGAAACUGUCAAACUUGAGUGCAGAAGGGGAGAGUGGAAUUCCAUGUGUAGCGGUGAAAUGCAUAGAUAUAUGGAGGAACNCCGGUGGCGAAAGCGGCUCUCUGGUCUGUAACUGACGCUGAGGCUCGAAAGCGUGGGGAGCGAACAGGAUUAGAUACCCUGGUAGUNCACGCCGUAAACGAUGAGUGCUAGGUGUUGGAUCCUUUCCGGGAUUCAGUGCCGAAGCUAACGCAUUAAGCACUCCGCCUGGGGAGUACGACCGCAAGGUUGAAACUCAAAGGAAUUGACGGGGGCCCGCACAAGCGGUGGAGCAUGUGGUUUAAUUCGAAGCAACGCGAAGAACCUUACCAGGUCUUGACAUCCCGAUGCUAUUUCUAGAGAUAGAAAGUUACUUCGGUACAUCGGUGACAGGUGGUGCAUGGUUGUCGUCAGCUCGUGUCGUGAGAUGUUGGGUUAAGUCCCGCAACGAGCGCUACCCCUAUUGUUAGUUGCCAUCAUUCAGUUGGGCACUCUAGCGAGACUGCCGGUAAUAAACCGGAGGAAGGUGGGGAUGACGUCAAAUCAUCAUGCCCCUUAUGACCUGGGCUACACACGUGCUACAAUGGUUGGUACAACGAGUUGCGAGUCGGUGACGGCGAGCUAAUCUCUUAAAGCCAAUCUCAGUUCGGAUUGUAGGCUGCAACUCGCCUACAUGAAGUCGGAAUCGCUAGUAAUCGCGGAUCAGCACGCCGCGGUGAAUACGUUCCCGGGCCUUGUACACACCGCCCGUCACACCACGAGAGUUUGUAACACCCGAAGUCGGUGAGGUAACCUUUUGG
Molecule: ribosomal RNA, 913 nt
Filed under: uncultured bacterium
Lineage: Bacteria
Description: bacterial SSU rRNA
Rfam family: Bacterial small subunit ribosomal RNA
Source: RNAcentral